RNAcentral lists this ribosomal RNA (858 nucleotides) under uncultured archaeon. RNAcentral's name for it is "bacterial SSU rRNA". It matches the Rfam family "Archaeal small subunit ribosomal RNA", at positions 1 to 865 of the family's 1478-position model. The record is from RNAcentral.
UUCCGGUUGAUCCUGGCAGAGGUUACUGCUAUCGAGGUUCGACUAAGCCAUGCGAGUCGAAUGUAGCAAUACAUGGCGAACUGCUCAGUAACACGUGGACAACCUGCCCUUAGGACGGGGAUAAACCCGGGAAACUGGGUAUAAUACCCGAUAGGUCUCGAUUGCUGGAAUGCAUCGAGAUUUAAAGCUCCGGCGCCUAAGGAUGGGUCUGCGGCCUAUCAGGUAGUAGUGGGUGUAGCGUACCUACUAGCCUACGACGGGUACGGGUUGUGAGAGCAAGAGCCCGGAGAUGGAUUCUGAGACACGAAUCCAGGCCCUACGGGGUGCAGCAGGCGCGAAAACUUUACAAUGCUGGCAACAGCGAUAAGGGAACCUCGAGUGCCAGGUUACAAAUCUGGCUGUCGAGAUGCCUAAAAAGCAUUUCAUAGCAAGGGCCGGGCAAGACCGGUGCCAGCCGCCGCGGUAACACCGGCGGCUCGAGUGGUAACCGUUAUUAUUGGGUCUAAAGGGUCUGUAGCCGGCCGGAUAAGUCUCUUGAGAAAUCUGGCAGCUUAACUGUCAGGCUUUCAGGAGAUACUGUCUGGCUCGAGGCCGGGAGAGGUGAGAGGUACUUCAGGGGUAGGGGUGAAAUCUUGUAAUCCUUGAAGGACCACCAGUGGCGAAGGCGUCUCACCAGAACGGACCUGACGGCAAGGGACGAAAGCUAGGGGCACGAACCGGAUUAGAUACCCGGGUAGUCCUAGCCGUAAACGAUACUCGCUAGGUGUCGGCCACGGUGCGACCGUUGUCGGUGCCGUAGGGAAGCCGUGAAGCGAGCCACCUGGGAAGUACGGCCGCAAGGCUGAAACUUAAAGGAAU